This 425-nucleotide ribosomal RNA is filed under the name uncultured bacterium. RNAcentral describes it as "partial 16S ribosomal RNA". It matches the Rfam family "Bacterial small subunit ribosomal RNA", at positions 354 to 796 of the family's 1533-position model. The record is from RNAcentral.
GUGGGGAAUAUUGGACAAUGGGCGCAAGCCUGAUCCAGCAAUGCCGCGUGGGUGAAGAAGGUCUUCGGAUCGUAAAGCCCUUUCGACAGGGACGAUGAUGACGGUACCUGUAGAAGAAGCCCCGGCUAACUUCGUGCCAGCAGCCGCGGUAAUACGAAGGGGGCUAGCGUUACUCGGAAUUACUGGGCGUAAAGGGCGCGUAGGCGGCUCUGUUAGUCAGGCGUGAAAUUCCUGGGCUUAACCUGGGGACUGCGCUUGAUACUGCAGGGCUUGAGGCCGAGAGAGGGUGGUGGAAUUCCCAGUGUAGAGGUGAAAUUCGUAGAUAUUGGGAAGAACACCGGUGGCGAAGGCGACCACCUGGCUCGGUUCUGACGCUGAGGCGCGACGGCGUGGGGAGCAAACAGGAUUAGAAACCCCAGUAGUCC